This 2455-nucleotide long non-coding RNA is filed under the name Homo sapiens (human). Its description in RNAcentral is "HSALNT0281671". The record is from RNAcentral. Lineage: Eukaryota; Metazoa; Chordata; Mammalia; Primates; Hominidae.
CGACAGCUGGCUAUCUGAUGACUCAUCAGUCACCGUGGGCGUCUCCGGAUGGAACCCUGAACAUUUAUUCAGAGGGUGCUUUUGCCAGUUUCUGAACGACUCCUAGUAAGUCCUGCCUUUUGGGGAUUGUUUUAACCCCAUGGAGAUUGGGGGUUUGAAGACUCAGUGGGUUCCUGUCUGAAGGCCUCUGGGGGCUUAAAAAGUCCAGUGGGGCUUUGGGGAACUGGCUCCAGUUGCGGUGGCUGAUUAGUGUUUUCGUAGCGUCUCUUCCAGUUCACCGCAGACCUGCUGUUCCGUGGAGUCUGGUGUUGCAAAGCUUGUUGCAAAGCUUGUGCUGAGGAACUGCGAGGGGUCUCUGGGAAUCUCUCUCAGGUUGCCGGGACCAGAGAGCCAUGUGUCUGGCUAAUGUGACCAUCCCUCAACAAGGGUACUGCUCACUGGAUUUCUCUACACAGACUCCCCUCCUGAGGAACUGACUAGGCAUGAAAGAUCUCCCCCAAGAAUUGUUUAGUGACAGCUUAAGCUAGGCUAGCCUCUCUGCCUCACUAAGCUCAGCUGAGGUCAGAGUGGUGGGGUGUGACGCCCGCAACUCCGGGCAGUUAACUCACACAAAGGGAAAACUCUCUCCCCACCUUGCCUACCUGCCUCCCUGCCUGUGGGCAAUUUUGCCAAUGUUUUCCAUUAGUCACAAAGGAGAGGGGCAGGUGGGGGCAGGGUGGUCAGUGGGGACAAUCAUUACACAGGAAGAAAACCAAAACCAUAUUACUAUCUAAGGCACUGUGCUAAGUGCUGGCAUUAGGGUUGCAUUUGGUGAAAAUCCACAUAUAACACAGAAAAAUCUAUGAACCAUCUAGAAAUCCUAACUUCUUGACCCUUGAACUCCUUCUUUAAGAAGAUCACUUGUUCAUGGAGGGCUUCCCUGACCCCUGGGCAGGCUCCUUCCCCAUUCUCUUGGCUGCUUCUGCCAGCACUUGGUGUCCUUUGCCUGAGGCUCUCUUUGGCUGCGUGAGUGGGCAGCCCUCCCUAACACCCUCAACUCUGACUGUUAGGAUUCCGUAAGUAAAUGCUCCAGCCUCCUCAUCCUUCAGGAGGGAUGAUCUGAGGUGUGUUCCACACUGUCAACCAGGGGUAUCCUGCAGGACCCAGCCCCAUUUGCCCCAACAAAUGCGGACAAAUGGGUGGGAGCCUACUUAUCAAUACGGCCUCUGACUGCCCCCCUGGCUCUCUCUCCAUGUCCUCAUUGCCCUACUGAUGCUUCCUGGAAUCACCUCCCAAAGAAACUGCUUGCACACAAAACCUUGUAUGCAAGACAUUUGCAAUCUAAAUUAAGUCUCCCUGUUCUUUCUCAGGGCACUCCCCACCCCCAGCUUAAUAGCACUCAUCAUGAUAUGUAAUUAUGCAUUUGUUUGUGUAUCUAUUUGUUUAAUGAGGGCAGAGACAAUGUCUAUUUUGUUCACCACUAAAUCCCUGCACAUCACUCAACCCAGAGCUUAACAUGUGGUAGAUGCUCAACGUAAAUUCUGUUGAAGGAAUGAAUGUAACAUCAUUAGAGCUUUCUAAUCUUUCACCCUUUGGGGUGGUUCAAAAACAUGACCCCAAAGUUUCCUGACACUCCUUCCAAUGAGAAGCGGGGUCCUUCUCUCCUUGAAUCUGGAUACGCUGGUGACAGCUUCAACUAAGAGAAUGAAAGGGCUAGGUCAUAAAAGGCCACACAGCUUCUGCCCUGAAGCCCUGAAUAGCUGUCAUGUAAGAACUCUGACUACCCUCAGCCGGCCAUGCUGAGAGGAGGCCCAAUUAAUAUGAAGGGACAACACAUAGGUGCAGAGAUCCAUAGUCCCAACUGAGCCCAGUCUCCAAGUCAUUUCAGCCUAAGUACCAGAUGUGUGAAUGAAGAAGCUUCUGGAUGAUUCCAGCCCCCAGCUCUUUUCAAGUCUUCUCAACUGAGACCCCAGACAUUGUGGAGCAGAGAGAUCCACAAUGCUUUGGCCCGUCCAAAUUCCUGACUUAUGGAAACUUCGAGCAUAAUAAAACCGUUGUUAAGCUGCUAAAUUUUGGAGUAAUUUGUUAUGCAGAAAUAAUUGGAAGACCUUGAUUGUGAGUUUAUUAAUUCUGCAUUUAUUUGAAAGUCAUUUAUCAAGUUCCUACUAUGUGCCAGGUGAUGGUUACACAGUAGCAAACAAGGGAAAGAUCCCUACCUUCCGGGAACUUACAAUCUAGGGGCUGCUGUUGUAACUGUAUCUUGCAAAAGCCUACAUGUUGCUUUUUAACAAUAAUGAGUAGGUUUUUCUGAAACCACUUCCAGAUGGUGUGGGGGGAGGGGUGCUUCCGGAGUGAGUUGCUAAGGGAAGCUCCAGGGGUAGGUGGAUUAGAUAACACAGACCCAGGGAGCUCUAUUAUUUGCUGGCUGUCAACCACCACUGUCCUGCAAAUCAUCCACAGACUAGCUGCACCCCCA